RNAcentral lists this ribosomal RNA (379 nucleotides) under uncultured eukaryote. RNAcentral's name for it is "partial 18S ribosomal RNA". It matches the Rfam family "Eukaryotic small subunit ribosomal RNA", at positions 592 to 975 of the family's 1831-position model. The record is from RNAcentral.
CAAUAGCGUAUAUUAAAGUUGUUGCAGUUAGAACGCUCGUAGUCGGAUUUCGGGGCGGGCCGACCGGUCUGCCGAUGGGUAUGCACUGGUCGGCGCGUCCUUCCUUCCGGAGACCGUCCCUACUCUUAACUGAGCGGGGGCGGGAGACGGGACCUUUACUUUGAAAAAAUCAGAGUGUUUCAAGCAGGCAGCUCGCUCUUGCAUGGAUUAGCAUGGGAUAAUGAAAUAGGACUUUGGUGCUAUUUUGUUGGUUUCGAACACCGAAGUAAUGAUGAGAAGGGACAGUCAGGGGCACUCGUAUUCCGCCGAGAGAGGUGAAAUUCUCAGACCAGCGGAAGACGAACCACUGCGAAAGCAUUUGCCAGGGAUGUUUUCACUG